Molecule: small nuclear RNA, 107 nt
Organism: Acomys russatus (golden spiny mouse)
Lineage: Eukaryota; Metazoa; Chordata; Mammalia; Rodentia; Muridae
Source: RefSeq, a predicted model, not a curated record
GUGCUCUCUUUGGCAGCACAUACACUAAAAUUGGAACAAUACAGAGAAGAUUAGCAUGGCUCCAGCUCAAGGAUGACAUGCAAAUCUGUGAAGCGUUUCAUAUUUUU